Molecule: ribosomal RNA, 513 nt
Filed under: uncultured bacterium
Lineage: Bacteria
Description: partial 16S ribosomal RNA
Rfam family: Bacterial small subunit ribosomal RNA
Source: RNAcentral
GACGAACGCUGGCGGCGUGCUUAACACAUGCAAGUCGAACGAGAGCGUAGAGAUAGCUUGCUUUUUCUACAAUCUAGUGGCAAACGGGUGAGUAACGCGUAAACAACCUGCCCUACGGAUGGGGACAACAGCUGGAAACGGCUGCUAAUACCGAAUACGUUCCGAAAGUCGCAUGACUAUCGGAAGAAAGGAUGGCCUCUAUUUAUAAGCUAUCGCCGGAGGAGGGGUUUGCGUCUGAUUAGCUAGUUGGAGGGGUAACGGCCCACCAAGGCGACGAUCAGUAGCCGGUCUGAGAGGAUGAACGGCCACAUUGGAACUGAGACACGGUCCAGACUCCUACGGGAGGCAGCAGUGGGGAAUCUUCCGCAAUGGGCGAAAGCCUGACGGAGCAACGCCGCGUGAGUGAAGACGGCCUUCGGGUUGUAAAGCUCGGUUAUACGGGACGAAUAAUCUUGUGGUUAAUACCUAGCCGAAGUGACGGUACCUCAAGAGAAAGCCACGGCUAACUACGUG